RNAcentral lists this ribosomal RNA (479 nucleotides) under uncultured bacterium. RNAcentral describes it as "bacterial SSU rRNA". It matches the Rfam family "Bacterial small subunit ribosomal RNA", at positions 28 to 517 of the family's 1533-position model. The record is from RNAcentral.
GAUGAACGCUAGCUACAGGCUUAACACAUGCAAGUCGAGGGGCAGCGCAGUGUAGCAAUACAUGGGCGGCGACCGGCGCACGGGUGCGUAACGCGUAUCCAACCUUCCCGUUACUCAGGGAUAGCCUUCCGAAAGGGAGAUUAAUACCUGAUGGUAUUCAAAUUUCGCAUGUUAUUUGAAUUAAAGAUUUAUCGGUAACGGAUGGGGAUGCGUGAUAUUAGGUAGAUGGCGGGGUAACGGCCCACCAUGCCUACGAUGUCUAGGGGUUCUGAGAGGAAGGUCCCCCCACACUGGAACUGAGACACGGCCCAAACUCCUACGGGAGGCAGCAGUGGGGGAAUAUUGCACAAAUGGGCGAAAGCCUGAUGCAGCGACGCCGCGUGAAUGAAGAAGUAUUUCGGUAUGUAAAGUUCUAUCAGCAGGGAAGAUAAUGACGGUACCUGACUAAGAAGCACCGGCUAAAUACGUGCCAGCAGCCG